CGAGCGCUCGCAGCGUACACAAAUUCGCUGCCUAGUGGGCGCGUUCUGGUUUGUCGCGUCGCUCGUUUACUGUAUAAUGUAAAUGGAGGAGGAAUUGGAUCUGAAACUCUCACUCCUCUCCCCCGACUCACCGACAAACAACGUGGGACGCUUGAAUUUGUUAUACCACACCACAGAGACUUUUGCACUGAUUUUUAUACAUCGCCGCGUCACAAGUAAAUGUCGCGUUUCGCGGAGCUGGAAAAUAUGUGUAAACUACUGACAGCGGUGAAAAACAUUGCACUGUCAUCCGCGGUUGAGUACUCACAAAUGUCAUGCACUGUUCAAGAGCCUUUGCCUUCUGUGACAUUCAGCGGACUUAAUAACAACCAACAUGAAGCAGACAGAUACAGUCAGAGCGCGUUGCCUAUUCUAAAGGACCUUUAAACUUGUUGAAAUCAUUGUAAACAUGGAAGAGGCAGGCGCUGGGAACGGUACUGGGACGCAGGGCUGUGAACUGGAGCGUUCUGGAGACGGAGGACUGGAUGAGGUGCAGAUGCAUCUCGCCUGCUUACCGGAGCGAUACAUGAGAGCCAAGUUUUCCCUCUCCGCGUACAUAUUUUGUUGGACAGUAGUAAAGUUGUGUCAGGCCCCAGCUUUAGAGGACUCUGGGAGUGAGGCAGCCUGUCUGGAUGAUGGGGAGUCUCAGCAGGAGGGGCAUGGAGAGCAACAGGACCAUCAGGAAUGGUGUGAGCCGGUUCCUGAAGCAGCACAGGACACAAAAGAGGGAUAUUUUGACACACACUCAUGGCCCAGUGACACUUUCUCUGAAUCGAGUCAUGAAACUAAGGACUGCUGCAGGACACCGCUCAGCUAUGAGGUUGGAUCUUGCUCUGUGGGUCAUCUGGACUCACACUCUCCAUUUGUCAAACCGUCACCUUUGGUUAGAGGGAGAAAUCCCUCUUCAACAAAACAG
RNAcentral lists this long non-coding RNA (955 nucleotides) under Sinocyclocheilus anshuiensis. RNAcentral describes it as "lncRNA (ENSSANG00000014566.1)". Lineage: Eukaryota; Metazoa; Chordata; Actinopteri; Cypriniformes; Cyprinidae. The record is from RNAcentral.